RNAcentral lists this ribosomal RNA (254 nucleotides) under uncultured bacterium. RNAcentral describes it as "partial 16S ribosomal RNA". It matches the Rfam family "Bacterial small subunit ribosomal RNA", at positions 524 to 776 of the family's 1533-position model. The record is from RNAcentral.
UACGUAGGUGGCGAGCGUUAUCCGGAAUGAUUGGGCGUAAAGGGUGCGUAGGCGGUGUAGCAAGUUAGAAGUGAAAUACCUAGAGCUUAACUCAGGUGCUGCUUCUAAAACUGCUAUACUUGAGUGCAGUAGAGGAAAGUGGAAUUCCUAGUGUAGCGGUGGAAUGCGUAGAUAUUAGGAGGAACAUCAGUGGCGAAGGCGACUUUCUGGACUGUAACUGACGCUGAGGCACGAAAGUGUGGGGAGCAAACAGG